RNAcentral lists this ribosomal RNA (279 nucleotides) under uncultured bacterium. RNAcentral's name for it is "partial 16S ribosomal RNA". It matches the Rfam family "Bacterial small subunit ribosomal RNA", at positions 506 to 784 of the family's 1533-position model. The record is from RNAcentral.
UGCCAGCAGUCGCGGUAAUACGAAGGUCCCAUGCGUUGUUCGGAAUCACUGGGCGUAAAGCGUGUGUAGGCGGCAUGGAAAGUCAGGUGUGAAAGCCCGGGGCUCAACCUCGGAACUGCAUCCGAUACUCCCAUGCUAGAGUAGUGGAGGGGCAUCUGGAAUUCACGGUGUAGCGGUGAAAUGCGUAGAUAUCGUGAGGAACACUAGUGGCGAAGGCGAGAUGCUGGACACUAACUGACGCUGAGACACGAAGGCCAGGGUAGCGAAAGGGAUUAGAAA